CGGAGGGUGCAAGCGUUACUCGGAAUCACUGGGCGUAAAGGACGCGUAGGCGGAUUAUCAAGUCUCUUGUGAAAUCCUAUGGCUUAACCAUAGAACUGCUUGGGAAACUGGUAAUCUAGAGUGAGGGAGAGGCAGAUGGAAUUGGUGGUGUAGGGGUAAAAUCCGUAGAGAUCACCAGGAAUACCCAUUGCGAAGGCGAUCUGCUGGAACUCAACUGACGCUAAUGCGUGAAAGCGUGGGAGCAAACAGGAUU
RNAcentral lists this ribosomal RNA (253 nucleotides) under uncultured bacterium. RNAcentral's name for it is "partial 16S ribosomal RNA". It matches the Rfam family "Bacterial small subunit ribosomal RNA", at positions 526 to 779 of the family's 1533-position model. The record is from RNAcentral.